UGGGGAAUAUUGCACAAUGGGCGGAAGCCUGAUGCAGCGACGCCGCGUGGGGGAUGAAGGCCUUCGGGUUGUAAACUCCUUUCGACAGGGACGAAGCUUUUGUGACGGUACCUGUAUAAGAAGCACCGGCUAACUACGUGCCAGCAGCCGCGGUAAUACGUAGGGUGCGAGCGUUGUCCGGAAUUACUGGGCGUAAAGAGCUCGUAGGUGGUUUGUCGCGUCGUCUGUGAAAUUCCGGGGCGUAACUCCGGGCGUGCAGGCGAUACGGGCUGACUUGAGUGCUGUAGGGGAGACUGGAAUUACUGGUGUAGCGGUGAAAUGCGCAGAUAUCAGGAGGAAAACCGAUGGCGAAGGCAGGUCUCUGGGCAGUAACUGACGCGGAGGAGCGAAAGCAUGGGUAGCGAACAGG
RNAcentral lists this ribosomal RNA (409 nucleotides) under Actinomycetes bacterium. RNAcentral describes it as "Actinobacteria bacterium partial 16S ribosomal RNA". It matches the Rfam family "Bacterial small subunit ribosomal RNA", at positions 355 to 776 of the family's 1533-position model. The record is from RNAcentral. Lineage: Bacteria; Bacillati; Actinomycetota; Actinomycetes.